Molecule: ribosomal RNA, 468 nt
Filed under: uncultured bacterium
Lineage: Bacteria
Description: partial 16S ribosomal RNA
Rfam family: Bacterial small subunit ribosomal RNA
Source: RNAcentral
GACGAACGCUGGCGGCGUGCUUAACACAUGCAAGUCGAACGGAAAGGCCCUGCUUUUGUGGGGUGCUCGAGUGGCGAACGGGUGAGUAACACGUGAGUAACCUGCCCUUGACUUUGGGAUAACUUCAGGAAACUGGGGCUAAUACCGGAUAGGAGCUCCUGCUGCAUGGUGGGGGUUGGAAAGUUUCGGCGGUUGGGGAUGGACUCGCGGCUUAUCAGCUUGUUGGUGGGGUAGUGGCUUACCAAGGCUUUGACGGGUAGCCGGCCUGAGAGGGUGACCGGCCACAUUGGGACUGAGAUACGGCCCAGACUCCUACGGGAGGCAACAGUGGGGAAUAUUGCACAAUGGGCGGAAGCCUUAUGCAGCAACGCCGCGGGCGGGAUGACGGCCUUCGGGUUGUAAACCGCUUUCGCCUGUGACGAAGCGUGAGUGACGGUAAUGGGUAAAGAAGCACCGGCUAACUACGUG